RNAcentral lists this unclassified non-coding RNA (171 nucleotides) under rhizosphere metagenome. Its description in RNAcentral is "partial ribosomal RNA internal transcribed spacer region". The record is from RNAcentral.
GAAUCUCGGGAGUCCCUCCUAACCGGAGAAGGCCCGCACAAUCAUUACUUUCACACACUAGUGCAUUUGUCCCCCUUUUAAUACCUUUAACCCUGUAUGCAUUUGAAACAGUCAUUGGUUACAAACAUGAUAAAUGAAAGAAAAACUUUCAGCAAUGGAUCUCUUGGCUCU